RNAcentral lists this ribosomal RNA (301 nucleotides) under uncultured bacterium. RNAcentral describes it as "partial 16S ribosomal RNA". It matches the Rfam family "Bacterial small subunit ribosomal RNA", at positions 509 to 807 of the family's 1533-position model. The record is from RNAcentral.
CAGUAGCCACGGUAAUACGUAGGGUGCAAGCGUUAAUCGGAAUUACUGGGCGUAAAGCGUGCGCAGGCGGUUUUGUAAGACAGAGGUGAAAUCCCCGGGCUCAACCUGGGAACUGCCUUUGUGACUGCAAGGCUAGAGUACGGCAGAGGGGGAUGGAAUUCCGCGUGUAGCAGUGAAAUGCGUAGAUAUGCGGAGGAACACCGAUGGCGAAGGCAAUCCCCUGGGCCUGUACUGACGCUCAUGCACGAAAGCGUGGGGAGCAAACAGGAUUAGAUACCCGAGUAGUCCCUGUCUCUUAUAC